Molecule: non-coding RNA, 1432 nt
Organism: Schizosaccharomyces pombe (fission yeast)
Lineage: Eukaryota; Fungi; Ascomycota; Schizosaccharomycetes; Schizosaccharomycetales; Schizosaccharomycetaceae
Source: the annotation of a GenBank genome assembly
CUUAUAAUUGUUUCUUUGACAUGUAGCAUUUAAGUAUUAUUGUGUAAAUAACAGUUUAAAUAUUUUCAUAAUAAAGAACGAUCACCGGAAAAACUAGAAAAACUAGAGAUUCAUUAAAUUUCCUUAUUCUUAUCAUUUACCUUGAUUCUUUUGUUUUUGUUUAACUGAUUCAACAAACUCCUUAACAUUUAACUGACACACCACUUCACUGCAAAGUUGUUUUCGGUUACCCUUGGGUACGUUUGAUAAGAUCUCUAAUCCGCUUGCUCGUUCCACAACCUCAACGGGAACUGCAAAGUUCUUUAACGGAAAGUUGUCAGCAAUAGGUUUGUUGGGAAGAACGAAUGCAGCUACUGAUGGACUUGAGGUAGGCUCUCCUGAUUUUUCUGCAAUGAUUACUUUAAAAAAAUGAGUAGGAACUGCGACGUUGGGAGGAUUGCCAAUUACUCGAUACUGAACUUCCCAUUGUCCACGUUCAUUUUUUUUAGGUAAAUACAGCGGUCCCGUCAUUAUGGUAACUGAGCCGUAUUUACUUGUAAGGCGUCGACACCAAUCUUCAAAGUAUGCCCAAUCUAAUUGUUAUAGUUAGUAACUAGUCAAAUUUAUUAAUGUAUUAAAAGAAAAAGUCUCGUUAAGUUUUUGCUUACAGUUUCUAUUGAAACCAUCUCCCACUUGUGGACACAUAUUAGAAAGAUAGAAAGUUUCGUUCAUUGCUUCCUGACUAAAUUUACAAUCUGCUGCAGGUACUUGAUGACCACGAUCAUAACCGCUUCCUCUGUAAUCUCCUAACUUUGCUUGAAACAUUUCAGGAAUAUUAUCAUCUGGAACGAACUCAGAGUACCUGCGAUUGCCUUUGCGUUGGUUCAACGAUUCUUGUGUAAUGGUUUCCGCUGUCUAGUUUAUUAUUAAUAUAAUGCACUCCGAGAGACCAGAAAUUUAAACAUUUAAUCUAUUGCCGUGAUCUAUAAUUCCUAGGUAAAGAAAGCUUAGGAAACGGUGUUUUUGCUUACAUAGAAUGGAUUUCGUGUUCUCCGAUCGAACACAGACAUAUAGCCAUGGUUUACCCUUUGGUCUGCCACUGGUCCUGGUAUGCCGUAUUGAAAAAAUUUGGUGGCAUUAAAAUCAUAUAUAGAUUCUAAGGCUCGACCAGCAGAGUCAAAUUUGGUAUACCUGGGUGUCAAGUCUGGUACAUCGGAUCCUUGAUAUCCUUUAUAAUAAAAAUGCGUGAAAGUUACACCCGAGAUCGCUCCAAUUGCUAUUAAUCCAAAAGAUUUGAUAAGAUUACUAGACAUAUCGUCGAUUGGGAAUUAAAAGAAGUGGGAGUGUAGGUAAAGAGAAGAUUGGAAUAUUCACUGCGUGUGAGUUUUUAAAUAAUUGGGAGUUAUCGUUAUGGCCAAGAAGAAUAUUAAAAAUAUAUUGUUAAACAUUAAUU